This 204-nucleotide small RNA is filed under the name Gaeumannomyces tritici R3-111a-1. Its description in RNAcentral is "Gaeumannomyces graminis var. tritici R3-111a-1 A. fumigatus sRNA Afu_182". It matches the Rfam family "A. fumigatus sRNA Afu_182". Lineage: Eukaryota; Fungi; Ascomycota; Sordariomycetes; Magnaporthales; Magnaporthaceae. The record is from Rfam by way of RNAcentral.
UAUUGAACAACGCAUUUAUUCACAUUCUCGAAAAUCACAAAUCCGAUCCGGAGGCGCGCGGAUCUUCCGCAGUCGCCCAGGACGUCAUCGACAAUUUUCGAACAGAAUGGAGAGGAGACACCAGCGCACAAUCUUGGGUGCGGCGCUUUCCUUGUCCCCUCCGGGGGGCCAAGGUGGGAAGGGUCGCAAUGAUUGAACGUACAG